RNAcentral lists this long non-coding RNA (776 nucleotides) under Carica papaya (papaya). Its description in RNAcentral is "long non-coding RNA (CPAP_LNC003235)". Lineage: Eukaryota; Viridiplantae; Streptophyta; Magnoliopsida; Brassicales; Caricaceae. The record is from RNAcentral.
GAGCGGCUUGAUCCGCGAUCGAAAAAAGAAGGUAUUGCAUGUGCACUGUAGUUGUCGUUAUCGCAUGCGAGUGUGGAAAUGGACUUGUAGGAAACUGUAAAAUCGAUGGUUUCCCACAAAACUGUGUGAUUGUGCAGUGGCAAUCUUGCCUGUGAAAGGGGAUGGCUAAGAUCGCAUAGUAGCGAUUUCGGCUGGAAGGGAAGCCUAACGAGAUCGAAGGGGAAGCGGGUAGAGGUAGAUCGUAUGAUGUCGAUCUCCAUGAGAAGGAAUAUUUGCGGCGAAAACCGCAAGCCAAGGAGAGGAGAAGAGUGAGCGACUUGAGCUGCGACCAGAGGAUGAAGAAGGUGUCGCAUGCGCACUAUCAAUGUCGCAUGCGAGUGUGGGAACAGACUUUUGUGAAAUUUCAAAGCCGGUGGUGUGCGUGCGAAAUCCAAGUGCGGGUCGUUGAUGCGUGUAUGUAUGACUUGGGAAGGUUGGAUGUGGUUCCGACCGCAUGAGCUUGUGGUGGCGAGGUCAAGUGCCUCCAAUGCGCGAUUGGUACUGGUGCCACCGCAGAUGGGUGAGUGUGGGUCGGGGAAGCGGAGAACAGAACCAGACUGAUGAUAUUGUCUGCGGCGGCACCCAUCUGCUGCUUGCGUUAACGAUUUUUCUCUCCUUUUUUAUGCUUGAACCGAUCGGUCCUAAUCAGUUUUAUUUGUGGUCUUGAACUGAAUCGAUUCACCCUCCAUACAACAAACCAAUUGGGUGUUUUGGGAAACCCAAAGCUUUGAUCUGCG